Molecule: long non-coding RNA, 2809 nt
Organism: Triticum aestivum (bread wheat)
Lineage: Eukaryota; Viridiplantae; Streptophyta; Magnoliopsida; Poales; Poaceae
Exons: 3
Source: RefSeq, a predicted model, not a curated record
GCAGACGCCGUGGUCUAAUCGUCCUAGCGCUCGGCGUGACUGCGUCCCCGAUCUCUGCGGCCAUCCGCGUUUGGCCAUCACGCACUCCUCCGCGCCGUGUGUCCCCAGCGACCCUCGGUCCGAUUGCCCUCCGCGUCCGGCUGCCAUGCGCUUCUCUGCGCGGGGCGCCGCGAGCGACUCUCCGUCCGACUGCCGCCCCGCGGCCCUCCACGUCCGACCGCCACGUGCUCCUCCGUGUCGGGCGCCGCGAGCGACUCUCCGCCCCGCAGCCCUCCACGGCCGCCACGCGCUCCUCCGCGCUGGGCGCCGCGAGCGACCCCUCCACUCCACGCCUUCCCACACAAGCCGCCGCCGGCCCUUCAUGCCACGACAGGCAACGCGCUCAUGCCGCUAUACAGGACUGCGGCUAUUUAUGUUCAGAUCACAUGUUUUUUCUUUGAUCCGCUUCAUUCGGUUGUACAGGUUGAUGUGGUGACGGGUGAGAUGUAUGUCCAUGCGCUAUUCCACAGCCGCGUACUGAUAACCCAGGCCUUUAGAGAUUAACUGAGUGCCAUAUGUAUCGGCAACAACACAACAACCAUGCAGAAUCAUUGUUGUCAGAGAAGUCGAUGAGCAUAUUUGCUUUCUCUGUUUUCAGAUAGUUUCCGAGCCCUCCUUCUCCAAGAUAAACUGAUAAAUAAAUCAUGUGCUGGCAGUGGUAUGAUAUUCAGGUUCGUACAUGUAUAUUUUCUAGGUUACUCUUAGCUUUCACACACCUAUAAAUUAUCUUGAUUUGUGUAUGCUUUGAUUACACAAUAGUGUAGUUAACAGAACUGAGUCAUAUUGAGCGGUUAGUUGAGUACCUAUAUCUAUAUGUGUGACAGCUCACAGCCAGGCAAGUUAUGUUCUGUCGUCGAAUAGAUAUUCAUAUGACUGAUUUGUGAACUUUAGCAUUUUGCAUUUAAUUGUGUCAUUUUUAAUGGUUAGUUAGGCUGAAUUGGCGAAUGAGUUGAUGACUGGGUUCAUGUGAUAAAUAAGCAUUUUUAAAGCUUGUGCUAUCACUUAUUUGAAUUCAUGAUUGCAGGAGUGUCUCAUGGCUUAAUAGUCGUUCAGGCAUGUGCAGUUUUUAAGAGUGAAGUCAGGAGAAUAACUUCUUCUGGGUUGAGGUUUCAACAGAUUGAUUCAUUGGAGGGAUGCUGGUACAGUGGCCAUAUCUAUGGUAAGACGUAUGGGGUAAAAUUAGAAGUAGAUACCUUUUUGGUCUGCUGAAAUUUUACCCGUCUAAAGAAACUUGGUACGACAUACUAAGAUGAAAUAUUGUAUUCUUCAAUUUGAGACAUUUAAUAGUGAACUGAGAGGCUCUAGCAUGGACUACAAACUAAUCUCAGCUAUAUUUGGAUGCAGUGCAAGGAAUUCUUCUUCUUGCAGUUGCAGGACCAUGAGAUGUCGACGCUACACUGUCGACACACCAAUGUCCCAGCCAAGUCAGUGAUGCAGCCCCAACUCCUGAUUUCUUCAAGUUGAGGAAGCUGCGGCAGCCUGACUCCAUUCUGCCUAUUGCCGCCCUAUCCAAUCUGCUGCUAGGCAACUACUACUCCCGUUGGAUAGAUGAACCCUCUGACUAUCUACUUUAUGUUAUUCCCUUUGUGUUAUCCAAUUGCUCUUGAUAAUUUAAUGAUUCAAUCAAAUUUCACUGCAAAUCAUACUGGAUCAGGCUUUUCUUCUUUCCAAUUUCACCGGCAGACGCGCAGCAGCGCCGGCGAGCGCCUCGGGUGGCGGCGGGGAGCGGAGGGGUGGAGUAAGGGGUUGCGGCGGGACAAGGGUUUGGUCGCUCUCGUGUUGCCCGUGAGGGGCGACGCGAGAGCUGAGUUGUGGAAGCCGAUGUGAGGGGAUUUGCAAUUCUUUCAACGCAGUGUUAGUUUGCGUUAAGUUGGAAAAUCCAAAUCCAUACAUUUACAAUUCUUCUUGUUAUAAUUAUAUUAUAUAUUUUCAUUAACUAAUGUUUACAGAAUACCAUCUGAGUAACCGCCUGAUAUAGCAGUUAGUUUUAACAUUAGAUGCAACAACUUUGACAUUGAUGAUUUGAUCAUGUUUUUAUUAGGACAAUAAACUUGUCUAGAAUUCAUUAUGAAUUGAAGGCUCUGGAAAUAGAUGCAUCUGCUCCCUAAAUUAUUCUCAGUGUGAUUUCUGAAUCAUACAUGCUGACAUGCAUUGGCAAUCAUUAUUCAACGGAUUGCCUUUUCACUGAAAUAAGAACCGCAUGAUGCUUACAAUUUAAUCUGGUCAUCUAGAUAACUGAAUGGGUUAAUUUUAUGCUUAGUAUCUUCUGGCAAAUGUAAAGUGGGGAAGAAAACCAAUCUCUUUUGAUACGGACUUCUGGAGGCAACAUUCCUUGAUUGUAUGCACUUAACAUUUUCUUUUGGCUUCCUGCUAUCGCGUUUUAAGUUGUCUGCUAAUACUUUUAAGUCUCUCUUGUGCUCAAUUUCAGAUGCUAUCUUGUGUACGAUUGAGCAGUCUCGACUAUACUUCGACCCAGACAUCAACGAAGCAAAUAACUUGAUUGUAAAGUAAAUUCAUGAUUAUCAAUGCCUAGCUUUUGAUCUUGACUAAUACGAAGGGUGCAAUGUGUAGGUUCAGAGAGCUCCGACGCUUUAUCCGACCAAAGACUUUCAAGCUAUAUUUUCUUUCAAGAUUUUGAGCAUCCCUGCACACGGAACAAUAUUGGAGAGAUAGAGUGCCACUGUUACAUUUCUCAAUAUCCAAGCUUUUAUUUCAUUGUUCUGAUAAUUGUUAUAUUUUGUUGGUGCACCAUUAUAGUUUGUUUAUUUUA